UGAAUCAACAUCCGGAGAAGGCAGCCUA
This 28-nucleotide non-coding RNA is filed under the name Homo sapiens (human). Lineage: Eukaryota; Metazoa; Chordata; Mammalia; Primates; Hominidae. The record is from RNAcentral.